GUGGGAACGUACCCUUCGGUUCGGAAUAACUCAGGGAAACUUGAGCUAAUACCGGAUACGCCCUUUUGGGGAAAGGUUUACUGCCGAAGGAUCGGCCCGCGUCUGAUUAGCUUGUUGGUGGGGUAACGGCCUACCAAGGCGACGAUCAGUAGCUGGUCUGAGAGGAUGAUCAGCCACACUGGGACUGAGACACGGCCCAGACUCCUACGGGAGGCAGCAGUGGGGAAUAUUGGACAAUGGGCGCAAGCCUGAUCCAGCCAUGCCGCGUGAGUGAUGAAGGCCUUAGGGUUGUAAAGCUCUUUUGUCCGGGACGAUAAUGACGGUACCGGAAGAAUAAGCCCCGGCUAACUUCGUGCCAGCAGCCGCGGUAAUACGAAGGGGGCUAGCGUUGCUC
This 394-nucleotide ribosomal RNA is filed under the name Methylobacterium sp. F123. RNAcentral describes it as "bacterial SSU rRNA". It matches the Rfam family "Bacterial small subunit ribosomal RNA", at positions 117 to 546 of the family's 1533-position model. Lineage: Bacteria; Pseudomonadati; Pseudomonadota; Alphaproteobacteria; Hyphomicrobiales; Methylobacteriaceae. The record is from RNAcentral.